UGGAGACAUCUGGAUUUGUCCAGGACAAACUAACUGAAUGGGGAUUCAGUGAGUUCAUGCAGAGAUUUAAAGAUGAAGGCAUUGACAAGGAGACGUUUCUAAACCUUGGAGAUUCAAUCCGAAUUAAUUUACUGUUUCCUAAAAUUGGACCAAGAGUAAGGUUUAGAAAGAGACUGAAAGAUUACUUACAGAUGGAGACAUGUCAUUUUGUCCAGGAAAAAUGAACUGAAUGGCAUCUCAGUGAGCUGAUUCACAGAUUUGAA
Molecule: non-coding RNA, 263 nt
Organism: Maylandia zebra (zebra mbuna)
Lineage: Eukaryota; Metazoa; Chordata; Actinopteri; Cichliformes; Cichlidae
Source: RefSeq, a predicted model, not a curated record